This 29-nucleotide non-coding RNA is filed under the name Mus musculus (house mouse). The record is from RNAcentral. Lineage: Eukaryota; Metazoa; Chordata; Mammalia; Rodentia; Muridae.
UGCUGAGAAAAUGUUACCUGUGAGAAUCA